UACGUAGGGUGCGAGCGUUAAUCGGAAUUACUGGGCGUAAAGCGUGCGCAGGCGGUUUUGUAAGCCAGAUGUGAAAGCCCCGGGCUUAACCUGGGAAUGGCAUUUGGGACUGCAAGGCUAGAGUGUGGCAGAGGAGACUGGAAUUCCUGGUGUAGCAGUGAAAUGCGUAGAUAUCAGGAGGAAUACCGAUGGUGAAGGCAGGUCUCUGGGUUAACACUGACACUGAGGAGCGAAAGCCAGGGGAGCAAACGGG
This 253-nucleotide ribosomal RNA is filed under the name uncultured bacterium. RNAcentral describes it as "partial 16S ribosomal RNA". It matches the Rfam family "Bacterial small subunit ribosomal RNA", at positions 524 to 776 of the family's 1533-position model. The record is from RNAcentral.